AUUAGACGAAUCAUCUGGAAAGAUGAAUCAAAGAAGGUAAUAAUCCUGUAGUCGAAAAUGUUGUCUCUCUUGAGUGGAUCCUGAGUACGACGGAGCACGUGAAAUUCCGUCGGAAUCUGGGAGGACCAUCUCCUAAGGCUAAAUACUCUCUAGUGACCGAUAGUGAACCAGUACCGUGAGGGAAAGGUGAAAAGCACCCCGGAAGGGGAGUGAAAUAGAACCUGAAACCGUGUGCUUACAAGUAGUCAGAGCCCGUUAAUGGGUGAUGGCGUGCCUUUUGUAGAAUGAACCGGCGAGUUACGAUUUGAUGCAAGGUUAAGCAGUAAAUGUGGAGCCGUAGCGAAAGCGAGUCUGAAUAGGGCGUUUAGUAUUUGGUCGUAGACCCGAAACCAGGUGAUCUACCCUUGGUCAGGUUGAAGUUCAGGUAACACUGAAUGGAGGACCGAACCGACUUACGUUGAAAAGUGAGCGGAUGAACUGAGGGUAGCGGAGAAAUUCCAAUCGAACCUGGAGAUAGCUGGUUCUCUCCGAAAUAGCUUUAGGGCUAGCCUCAAGUGAUGAUUAUUGGAGGUAGAGCACUGUUUGGACGAGGGGCCCCUCUCGGGUUACCGAAUUCAGACAAACUCCGAAUGCCAAUUAAUUUAACUUGGGAGUCAGAACAUGGGUGAUAA
Molecule: ribosomal RNA, 671 nt
Filed under: Staphylococcus aureus
Lineage: Bacteria; Bacillati; Bacillota; Bacilli; Caryophanales; Staphylococcaceae
Description: partial 23S ribosomal RNA
Rfam family: Bacterial large subunit ribosomal RNA
Source: RNAcentral